GGCCUUACGGGCUGGGCUACACACGUGCUACAAUGGCGGUGACAAUGGGACGCUAAGGGGCAACCCUUCGCAAAUCUCAAAAAGCCGUCUCAGUUCGGAUUGGAGUCUGCAACCCGAGCCCAUGAAGUUGGAAUCGCUAGUAAUCGUGGAUCAGCAUGCCACGGUGAAUACGUUCCCGGGCCUUGUACACACCGCCCGUCACACCAUGGGAGUUGGUUUUACCUGAAGACGGUGCGCUAACCGGAAGGGGGCAGCCGGCCACGGUAGGGUCAGCGACUGGGGUGAAGUCGUAACAAGGUAACC
Molecule: ribosomal RNA, 303 nt
Filed under: uncultured bacterium
Lineage: Bacteria
Description: bacterial SSU rRNA
Rfam family: Bacterial small subunit ribosomal RNA
Source: RNAcentral